Molecule: long non-coding RNA, 1651 nt
Organism: Podarcis raffonei (Aeolian wall lizard)
Lineage: Eukaryota; Metazoa; Chordata; Lepidosauria; Squamata; Lacertidae
Exons: 2
Source: RefSeq, a predicted model, not a curated record
CUUUCUCUGACGGGACGUUCCCGGUCUCAACGACUCGACGCCUCCGACGAGGAAGCCGGGCACCCGGGAGCGGGAAGGUGGGAGCGGAGGGACCCUCCGAGAAUCCUCCUCCUCCUCCUCCGACCAGCUGGAAGAAGCACCAGGAGCACAGCAAGAGACAGAAAGGCGACAGGGUUGUUUUGCAAACGACCGUCAGCGAGCAAGCAAAUACCCGACACUCUUCUUCAUCCUCAUCAUCUUCUUCUUCCAGCCGUGGCAUGGCUCCAAAUAAUCACCUGAGUUCAGGAGCGCUUAACGACGCAGCAGGAGACAGUUAACACCAGUAGGUUCACCUUCUGGUCCUCCCUCGUUCCCCGCCCCAUUUGCCGCUUUUUUAAAAAAAAUAAAAAUCAGCAACCACGAAAGGAAAAAGUAGUUUGGAAUUAGAGUUUUCGGACGUGAAUGGAAAAGGACAUGUGACCCGGAAUGAAGGAGGAAAGGUUACAGGCUACCUGACAAAGUUAGAUGUGGCAACCAGUUACUGGAAAAUUAAAUGCUUGUUUAUCAGCAGAUUUAAUUGCUGGUGAAAGAUACGGGCUUGACAAUUGCAGCAGUUGCACCUUCUGCAUCCGUUCAAAGCGUGCGGGGAGAUGGGGGUUAAUGAAGGUAGUGACAGUGCAAGCUUUCCUUUACUUCCCUGUCCAUCUAUUGCAGCCUUUUUCUGAAAGUGACAGAAGGUACGGAAGCCCUCUCCUUCUGUAACCUGCAUCCCAACUACUACUGCCCGUUUCUGUGGUCAUUUCUAGGAUGUGGGCAUUUGCCCUCUGCCAAUAAGACUGCAACAAAACUCAUUUUGCACAGUCCAUUGAAGAUGUGGGAUGGGCGUAAGCUUCAUUCCUUGCUGCACUGUGGAAACAGAUUAGAGCUGGCACCAGUGAAAAGCAGGGUAUCAUGUUCCCAAUCCUCUUAGCCAAUCAGAUCUCUUUAGCAAAUAAUGGGUUUGGAGAUGAAGGGAAGGCAGAAUGAUGUUUAUGAACAGAUCUUGAGUGUGGGAUGGAGAUGCUUGCAGAUAUUAAGAACCUGAUUUUGCAAUACUCGCUUCAUCCAGGGAGGCUCUUUUGACUCCAAUAAAAUGGUUCAGCAUCUCAUUCAGAGCAUUUGAAGAAAACUGUCAGUGAAACACAGUUGUUGAGGGGAUGCUCUUACUUCAACAAGGAUGAAGAGAAGUUUGAGAAUAGUGUAUGUAUGUAUGUACUACACAUUAAGAGAAUCCGAAUGGUACUUUGUAAAAGCAUGGUUUGUAAAUCAUGUUAGAGUAAAUAAGAAUUAAGUUUCCAAUUAUGUGAACUUGCUUAGCUUUAUUAUCCUGAAGAGCAAAUUAACUGAGAGAGUUAACAAAAUCAAUUUUUGAAUUGUGUAAUGUUUCUGUUUUCAUAUACAAUCUUUUAAACUGAACACAAACUACCUGUUGAGACUUCAAUCCCAAAAAACAUUGUAGCACAUUUUGGAAACACCUGCCUGAUAGACUUGCAGAGAGUGUAAGGAUGCUAAAUAAGUGUGUUUUCACAAAUGUGAUUCAAUACUGGGAUUUCUGCUUAUUGGGUAUCACUGUCUACAUAGUUUGAUAUUCUUAUUAUCAAGUCUCUGUGCAACCUGGCAAACUUUCUCAUUU